RNAcentral lists this ribosomal RNA (774 nucleotides) under uncultured Neocallimastigales. RNAcentral describes it as "partial large subunit ribosomal RNA". It matches the Rfam family "Eukaryotic large subunit ribosomal RNA", at positions 26 to 611 of the family's 3401-position model. The record is from RNAcentral. Lineage: Eukaryota; Fungi; Neocallimastigomycota; Neocallimastigomycetes; Neocallimastigales.
CGCAUCUGUGCAUGCAGCAUAUCAAUAAGCGGAGGAAAAGAAACUAACAAGGAUUCCCCUAGUAACGGCGAGUGAAGCGGGAAGAGCUCAAAUUUGAAAUCUUAAAGGGUUUCCCUUUACGAAUUGUAGUUUAAAGAAGUGUUUUCUGUUGAGGUUUUGGUAAAAGUUCUUUGGAAUAGGACAUCAUAGAGGGUGAGAAUCCCGUAUUUGACCUUUACUUUCAACUUUGUGAUACACCUUCAAAGAGUCGGAUUGUUUGGGAAUGCAGUCCAAAAUGGAUGGUAAAUUUCAUCUAAAGCUAAAUAUUGGCGAGAGACCGAUAGCGAACAAGUACCGUGAGGGAAAGAUGAAAGAACUUUGAAAAGAGAGUUAAACAGUACGUGAAAUUGUCAAAAGGGAAGCGUUUGACACCAGUGUUGUUUUUCUGAAAAUCAAUUAAAGAACUGUUUAUGCUAAGUUGUUUAGACUUUAUCAGCUAACUGUUUAGUUUUGAGCUUUUCUUUAAUGCACUUUUCAGUUAACAAGUCAACAUCAAUUUCUUUUGCUGUAAAAAAGCUUGAGGAAGGUGGCUUGAGAUUCGUCUUAAGUGUUUAUAGCCUCUUGCCUAUGCAGUCGGAGAGAUUGAGGUCUGCAGCGUAGAUCCUUCGGGGCUAAAUGCAUUUGUGCUAAGUUAUAGCAUUUUAUAGACAACUUGUUGACUAUGAUUUGUCAUUGUAGCUUACUCGCUCUCGCUAUUUUACCUACGCUUAGGAUGUUGAACGCGCACAGAGUCUC